UAAUAAUUAAGAAAAUCAAUGGUAACCAAUGGUUUACAUGGGCUGUGACGAGGACAAUAUUGAGGAAAAAUAUAGUGACAAUCCUUUGAUAAUCAAAUUCAUGGAGGGAUAGAUGCAAUUGACGAUGAUAUUUGACAUUAUUAAAUCUAAUUUUAGCAAAAGAAAAAGAAAGAGACUAUAAAUUAUAAUAAUUGAAAAA
RNAcentral lists this long non-coding RNA (199 nucleotides) under Actinidia chinensis (golden kiwifruit). Its description in RNAcentral is "long non-coding RNA (ACHI_LNC005677)". The record is from RNAcentral. Lineage: Eukaryota; Viridiplantae; Streptophyta; Magnoliopsida; Ericales; Actinidiaceae.